CACCGCCCGUCACACCAUGGGAGUCGAGUGCUCCAGAAGUGGCUGUGCUAACCCGCAAGGGAGGCAGGUCCCCAAGGAGUGCUUGGUAACGUGGGGUG
Molecule: ribosomal RNA, 98 nt
Filed under: uncultured bacterium
Lineage: Bacteria
Description: partial 16S ribosomal RNA
Rfam family: Bacterial small subunit ribosomal RNA
Source: RNAcentral